CUAAACAAUGUGCGGGAUAUCCCACCGGGGACUCCUUAGCAAAACACAUUCAUGAGUACCCUUCCAUGUUGCUUCCCCAGACCAGUAGCCACUGCUGCCAGCUCAGUACCCUAAUGUGGGUUUCUUGGGUUGAGGUGUCUGGGGAAGGGCUCACCAUCAAACUUUUGAACCAAUUUAGUAGUCUGAAAAGGCCAUGUGCCGCAAACUUUAAUAUAUAUUA
This 220-nucleotide unclassified non-coding RNA is filed under the name uncultured Tuber. RNAcentral's name for it is "sequence contains ITS1". The record is from RNAcentral. Lineage: Eukaryota; Fungi; Ascomycota; Pezizomycetes; Pezizales; Tuberaceae.